CCCCUGACAAUUUGUAAUCACUAUAAUUAACAAGAAAUCUGCGAGCUUCUAUUCAUUGACUCAAUAAUAGCUCACCGACCAAUAUAAGAUUUUGAAAACAAGAAUUUCUACUUUUGCCAGCGAUUUUUAAUUGUCUUUUCUUAAUUUUUUUUCUUCUAAUUCUGGAGGUCGUGUCAAACUUUUUAUAUACAUUUCUACCGCAAACCUGUAAAAUCAGAAUGAGGUCCUUGCGAAGAUAUGUUUAUUUUCGUGGGAUCCUAUGUAAUAUGGUAGUACGGGUUGGGGGCCUUCACCGUUUAUGCAUGCUUCGGCAAACUUUACAGGUUGAAAGUGAGAAACAUAUAUUGAUAUCAUACAGAGAUGUUAAACAAUGAUACAAAUUAAUAAACGAACCUUUCGCUUGAACCAGUAUUCCUAUCUUUCACCAAGAAAGAAUUUAAACAGGACUGUUUUCUUGGCCGUGCCAUAAUGAAA
RNAcentral lists this long non-coding RNA (474 nucleotides) under Mytilus galloprovincialis (Mediterranean mussel). The record is from RNAcentral. Lineage: Eukaryota; Metazoa; Mollusca; Bivalvia; Mytilida; Mytilidae.